GACCCCGGCCUCAUUGUCGGUGGAUCCGGCCGCCCGGAGGCGAGGGGAGACCGGCUAUCACCCUCUCUACUCUUCUCCUUCUACGUCCGGCACCGCUACAACGACGGCCGCGCGGAUCGCGUGAGGCAACGGAUCGGCGGAGGCCUGCAACAACAACGGCCGCGCGGGCGAGCAAUCGAGGAGGCCGGGAAUCACCAGAUCCGGAAGGACGGCGGCCCGAUUCGGAGAGGGAGCAACCCGAUCUGUGUCAUUGAGGCUCAUUGUAAGUGUCGACGGCGGCCGUUCCUUCACAGUGAUCCAGGGUCGUUGGGUCUGUUGAGCUCGGUAUCGACGGCAGCAGUAGCUCGGGCAAGAUGGAAGAAACGUGUUAGACACGGCCUCCUCCGAGAGCAUACACCAGCGACGUGCAGGAGGCCGAGGCCAAAGCCGAUCUUCCCCAACCCCAUCUGGCAUUAUAACUUCGAGAAGGUCAGCCUGAUGGUGCAGAACUCUGGCUUGAGGAAGACAUGCUUCAGUGUUUCUCCAUGCACCGACAACACUAUCAUCCUGCCACCACAACACACAAAUCUGGCGAUGCUUCCACCUGCAUCUGCAUGCCCUGGCUCCCUGCAUACAAGUAUAGUCCAGCCGCUCUACAAGAUUAUGAGUGAGCAAACAUGGAUGGUGAUGAUGGAGCUGAGUUCUUCAGUAAUAGAUGUGUUCAUGGCCUUCAGGAUUUUAUGGCAGGAAAGCUCCCAUAAGCUUCUUGGGAGGUUAGACUGCAGCAGUAAUGAAAGGUGCUGAUGAUGGAUCAUUUAGGAUAUUGUGUGCUUUGCCAGCGUUUCAGGUCCGGAUGCGGCAUCCACGUGGGCAGGCCGUUACCAUGAAGAUCAUGCCAUCGGAUUAGUUGUCCAUGUGCAUAGAUCAAAGAAAAAAAGAAGGUACAGAUGGCAAGUAUAUACUGAAGAUCUAUAUCUGUGGUCUACUACAGCUCAACUGUUGUAAACAAUACCUGUGAUGCAUCGUUCUUCCAAAGUUUCAUAGAUGGCCUUUGCAUUAAAUAGUAUAUCCAUAUCUUUUUUUAGUGAAUAGUACUUGCAAUUUUGAGUGUGUGCUUUCCAUCUCAUAAGGUUUCCAUGUUUCAUAAUGUCC
Molecule: long non-coding RNA, 1131 nt
Filed under: Oryza sativa Indica Group (long-grained rice)
Lineage: Eukaryota; Viridiplantae; Streptophyta; Magnoliopsida; Poales; Poaceae
Description: lncRNA OsGoSa_09g0012440
Source: RNAcentral